GGAAGUGAGGAGCCCCUCUGCCCGGCCAGCCGCCCCGUCCGGGAGGGAGGUGGGGGGGUCAGCCCCCCGCCCAGCCAGCCGCCCUGUCCGGGAGGGAGGUGGGGGGGUCGGCCCCCCGCCCGGCCAGCCGCCCCGUCCGGGAGGGAGGUGGGGGGGUCGGCCCCCCGCCCGGCCAGCCGCCCCGUCCGGGAGGUGAGGGGCGCCUCUGCCCGGCCGCCCCUACUGGGAGUGAGGAGCCCCUCUGCCCGGCCAGCCGCCCCGUCCGGGAGGGAGGUGGGGGGGUCAGCCCCCCGCCCGGCCAGCCGCCCCGUCCGGGAGGGAGGUGGGGGGGGUCAGCCCCCCCGCCCAGCCAGCCGCCCUGUCCGGGAGGUGAGGGGCGCCUCUGCCCGGCCGCCCCUACUGGGAAGUGAGGAGCCCCUCUGCCCGGCCAGCCGCCCCGUCCGGGAGGGAGGUGGGGGGGUCGGCCCCCCGCCCGGCCAGCCGCCCCGUCCGGGAGGGAGGUGGGGGGGGGUCGGCCCCCCUGUCUGGCCAGCCGCCCCGUCCGGGAGGUGAGGGGCGCCUCUGCCCGGCCGCCCCUACUGGAAAGUGAGGAGCCCCUCUGCCCGGCCACCACCCCGUCUGGGAGGUGUGCCCAACAGCUCAUUGAGAACGGGCCAGGAUGACAAUGGCGGCUUUGUGGAAUAGAAAGGCGGGAAAGGUGGGGAAAAGAUUGAGAAAUCCGAUGGUUGCCGUGUCUGUGUAGAAAGAAGUAGACAUGGGAGACUUUUCAUUUUGUUCUGCACUAAGAAAAAUUCC
Molecule: long non-coding RNA, 795 nt
Filed under: Homo sapiens (human)
Lineage: Eukaryota; Metazoa; Chordata; Mammalia; Primates; Hominidae
Description: HSALNT0291270
Source: RNAcentral